GUACGGCUUAAGAGUCCCAAACUAGGACGAAACGGCUGUCCAGUAC
This 46-nucleotide non-coding RNA is filed under the name Trichobilharzia regenti. The record is from RNAcentral. Lineage: Eukaryota; Metazoa; Platyhelminthes; Trematoda; Strigeidida; Schistosomatidae.